This 468-nucleotide ribosomal RNA is filed under the name uncultured bacterium. RNAcentral describes it as "partial 16S ribosomal RNA". It matches the Rfam family "Bacterial small subunit ribosomal RNA", at positions 28 to 507 of the family's 1533-position model. The record is from RNAcentral.
GACGAACGCUGGCGGCGUGCUUAACACAUGCAAGUCGAACGGAAAGGCCCUGCUUUUGUGGGGUGCUCGAGUGGCGAACGGGUGAGUAACACGUGAGUAACCUGCCCUUGACUUUGGGAUAACUUCAGGAAACUGGGGCUAAUACCGGAUAGGAGCUCCUGCUGCAUGGUGGGGGUUGGAAAGUUUCGGCGGUUGGGGAUGGACUCGGGGCUUAUCAGCUUGUUGGUGGGGUAGUGGCUUACCAAGGCUUUGACGGGUAGCCGGCCUGAGAGGGUGACCGGCCACAUUGGGUCUGAGAUACGGCCCAGACUCAUACGGGAGGCAGCAGUGUGGUAUAUGGCACAAUGGGCGGAAGCCUGAUGCAGCAACGCCGCGUGCGGGAUGACGGCCUUCGGGUUGUAAACCGCUUUCGCCUGUGACGAAGCGUGAGUGACGGUAAUGGGUAAAGAAGCACCGGCUAACUACGUG